RNAcentral lists this long non-coding RNA (180 nucleotides) under Felis catus (domestic cat). RNAcentral describes it as "lncRNA (ENSFCAG00000046524.2)". Lineage: Eukaryota; Metazoa; Chordata; Mammalia; Carnivora; Felidae. The record is from RNAcentral.
UGCAAAUUUAGUAUAUGCAUAUUUUUAAUUAAGGGAAUGUUUAAUGUUUGACUAUCUAACUUCCUUCCAGUCAAGCUGUGCCUUAGCUGAGCUUUGGUGCUGAAGACCAAUUCACAAUAACUCACAACUCUCCUGACACCCACUCCUCGAGUGACCUUCGGGCCUUUUCAGAGGAUAUCU